This 445-nucleotide ribosomal RNA is filed under the name Kocuria sp. m10-16. Its description in RNAcentral is "bacterial SSU rRNA". It matches the Rfam family "Bacterial small subunit ribosomal RNA", at positions 1023 to 1465 of the family's 1533-position model. The record is from RNAcentral. Lineage: Bacteria; Bacillati; Actinomycetota; Actinomycetes; Micrococcales; Micrococcaceae.
GGGGUCGGUAUACAGGUGGUGCAUGGUUGUCGUCAGCUCGUGUCGUGAGAUGUUGGGUUAAGUCCCGCAACGAGCGCAACCCUCGUUCCAUGUUGCCAGCACGUGAUGGUGGGGACUCAUGGGAGACUGCCGGGGUCAACUCGGAGGAAGGUGGGGAUGACGUCAAAUCAUCAUGCCCCUUAUGUCUUGGGCUUCACGCAUGCUACAAUGGCCGGUACAAAGGGUUGCGAUACUGUGAGGUGGAGCUAAUCCCAAAAAGCCGGUCUCAGUUCGGAUUGAGGUCUGCAACUCGACCUCAUGAAGUCGGAGUCGCUAGUAAUCGCAGAUCAGCAACGCUGCGGUGAAUACGUUCCCGGGCCUUGUACACACCGCCCGUCAAGUCACGAAAGUCGGUAACACCCGAAGCCGGUGGCCCAACCCUUGUGGAGGGAGCCGUCGAAGGUGG